CAUCAGUCAAAAAUUCAUCUUGCAUCCAAAUCGCAUGAAGUCUGCAUCCCAUGUGUUGGUUUCCACUCACGCGAACCUGAUCUCAUGCGACCGCUUUGUUGAAUGUCGCGUGCUGUGAAGAAUUUGAACUCCAUUUGAUUUCGUUAACUAAAUCCUGUCAAAAUUCUUAGUUUUUAUAUUUGUACCAAAGUUCCACGCUUGCUGGUCUCACUCUCAAUUUCGCAUCCAAAUCGCA
Molecule: long non-coding RNA, 235 nt
Filed under: Elaeis guineensis (African oil palm)
Lineage: Eukaryota; Viridiplantae; Streptophyta; Magnoliopsida; Arecales; Arecaceae
Description: long non-coding RNA (EGUI_LNC001062)
Source: RNAcentral